RNAcentral lists this ribosomal RNA (744 nucleotides) under uncultured bacterium. RNAcentral's name for it is "bacterial SSU rRNA". It matches the Rfam family "Bacterial small subunit ribosomal RNA", at positions 28 to 762 of the family's 1533-position model. The record is from RNAcentral.
GAUGAACGCUAGCUACCGGUUUAACACAUGCAAGUCGAGGGGCAGCAUGAACUUAGCUUGCUAAGUUUGAUGGCGACCGGCGCACGGGUGAGUAACACGUAUCCAACCUGCCGAUGACUCGGGGAUAGCCUUUCGAAAGAAAGAUUAAUACCCGAUGGCAUAGUUCUUCCGCAUGGUGGAACUAUUAAAGAAUUUCGGUCAUCGAUGGGGAUGCGUUCCAUUAGGUUGUUGGCGGGGUAACGGCCCACCAAGCCUUCGAUGGAUAGGGGUUCUGAGAGGAAGGUCCCCCACAUUGGAACUGAGACACGGUCCAAACUCCUACGGGAGGCAGCAGUGAGGAAUAUUGGUCAAUGGACGAGAGUCUGAACCAGCCAAGUAGCGUGAAGGAUGACUGCCCUAUGGGUUGUAAACUUCUUUUAUACGGGAAUAAAGUGAGGCACGUGUGCCUUUUUGUAUGUACCGUAUGAAUAAGGAUCGGCUAACUCCGUGCCAGCAGCCGCGGUAAUACGGAGGAUCCGAGCGUUAUCCGGAUUUAUUGGGUUUAAAGGGAGCGUAGGCGGACGCUUAAGUCAGUUGUGAAAGUUUGCGGCUCAACCGUAAAAUUGCAGUUGAUACUGGGUGUCUUGAGUACAGUAGAGGCAGGCGGAAUUCGUGGUGUAGCGGUGAAAUGCUUAGAUAUCACGAAGAACUCCGAUUGCGAAGGCAGCUUGCUGGACUGUAACUGACGCUGAUGCUCGAAAGUGU